This 253-nucleotide ribosomal RNA is filed under the name uncultured bacterium. RNAcentral describes it as "partial 16S ribosomal RNA". It matches the Rfam family "Bacterial small subunit ribosomal RNA", at positions 524 to 776 of the family's 1533-position model. The record is from RNAcentral.
UACGGAGGGGACUAGCGUUGUUCGGAAUUACUGGGCGUAAAGCGUGCGCAGGCGGUUAUGUAAGACAGGUGUGAAAUCCCCGGGCUCAACCUGGGAACUGCAUCUGUGACUGCAUAGCUAGAGUACGGUAGAGGGGGAUGGAAUUCCGCGUGUAGCAGUGAAAUGCGUAGAUAUGCGGAGGAACACCGAUGGCGAAGGCAAUCCCCUGGACCUGUACUGACGCUCAUGCACGAAAGCGUGGGGAGUAAACAGG